CAAGGCCGAAGGUCCACGGAGCUUGGUCAGGAGUAAAGGAACCGUCUGUGUUGCUUUCUGGGCACUCUUAAUGCCUCAUGUUUGUUUUUUUUUCUUCUCAUUUUGGCGCACGAGUUCAGUUCCGCAAAGGCGUGUGGGGUCUCCCCGGACCAGCGAUUGAACACGUCUCCCGCGUUGGCGGGUGGAUUCACCGAGCCGCCAGCGGAGCCCGGUACCCAUUCUGAAUAGUGAUGGCGCUUCCACGAGCGGGCCUUCCCAGUUUGCUGUUAAAGGAAUGGACCGCAUGUCUGUUGCUUCCUCGAAUGUCUUGAUGCCUCUUUUUAGACCCAUGAGUAUAUUCCUGGAACAUCCUUUCAAUUCCAAUCAUCUUCAAAAGGCCAAACUUUGCUUCUCUGAGGCCUGGCUUGCUUCCACUGAGGUUCCGCUCUACCCCUCUGAGUCCAGACUUUGCUACUCUGAGGCCCUGCUCUGCCCCGCUCCACACUGAGGCCUGGCUCACUUCUCACUGCGGUUCCGCUCUCCUCCUUGAGGCCUGACUCUGCUUCUCUGAGGCAAGUCUCCGCUCCUCACAGAGGCUUGGCUGUUCCUCCCUGAGGCCCUGCUCCACUCUUCGGUAUGGCCGGGCUCUGCUCCUCACUGAUUCCCAGCUCUGCUCCUCAUUCGGACCUGAUUAUGCUCAUCUCAGACCUGACUAUAACAGGAGUCUCCAUCAAUAUGGAACUUAAAACCACAACCUUCACAUACUUUAAAAUUGUUAUAUUAAAAAUAAAGAUAAUUUUUGGCAACAGUGUAUAGAAAUUGGAACUUUUAAAUGUUAGUUGUCAAAAUGUGAUAUGGUUCAAUCUACUUAUGCAAAACUUUGGCAUCUUAUCAAAAAUAUAAAAAUUCAGUUAUCAUCAGUUUCAAAAAGUCUGCUCUUACAUAUAUACCCAAAGAAUUUUAAAUAAAUGUUGAAAUAAAAGUUUAUACCAAUAUUCACAGCAGCACUGUUCU
This 993-nucleotide long non-coding RNA is filed under the name Capra hircus (goat). RNAcentral's name for it is "lncRNA (ENSCHIG00010013271.1)". Lineage: Eukaryota; Metazoa; Chordata; Mammalia; Artiodactyla; Bovidae. The record is from RNAcentral.